CCCCACAGCACCGAAGUAUAGAGAGACAUGUAAGUGAAGACAUUCUUUACUAACUCUUCUCUUCUGCUCCCACACUUUCGCUUUCUCUUCGUAUGGUGUGGUCAUAAACUCAUAAUAGAGCUAUCUUUGGUGCUCUGGUAUAUUCUGGUUGAUUUUGAAGACAGUCGAUUCAAAAAUGGAUUGGAAUGGCGCCUUUGCUUCUCGACCACAGCCUACUCUUAACUCCCAUUACGACUAUAGCUAUGAUCAAUGUCCAGGUAUAUAUGAAUUCUGAUGCUAAGUGUGUAAAUAUUAUUUGUUUGAAUUACUUUGCUAUAUGCUGUUCCGUCUUCUUCUUCCGCGGAGGCCAGCAGGGGCAAAAGCAGCUACAACGCUCAAGAGAAGACCACAACUGUUUAUUAGAGAAGAGUUUCCAGGAAGGAAGAGAUGAAGCUUUCCAGGGAACUUGGACUCCAACCAAGGCAAAUUGUUAUCUGGUUCCAAUACAGGCGUGCUGAAUGGAAAGCUAGACAGCUUGAGCGCUUAUAUGAUACCCUUAAACACGACUAUGAUGUUAUUUCCAGGGAAAAACAGAAGCUUCAAGAUGAGUGCAAGUCAUGAAAUGGAAAGGUCUGCUAGUGCAACAGGCGACAAGAGAGCAAGUCGUCUCCACAGUUGACACUAAAAUCUCCGGUGAAGAGACCGUGGAAAGCACCUCAGUUCCCAGCUCUAACAAGACAACGGUAGCAGCAAGCCCGCAUGUCCCAAUCCCCGAAUGCAACUGCGUUUUCAAUCUCCUUACUGGGGGUGCAAAACUACCUUCUUAUCCCUAAUAGACAAAACUUAAUCAACUUGUUUAUAUUUUGAUUAGACUGAGUUAAUUUAGCAUGGCCAGCUUAUAAUUUACAACAUUCAGUUUUACAAGUUUUCUCAGACCAUCGGCUAUGAGGAUGAUUUGGUUGGAAAAUUGACAUUUAUAUCAAUUCACUAAUACAAAUGCAACUGGAUUAAUGUUCAAGCUGCAGCAUAUCGGAUUAUGAACUUGAAUUACUUUUGCAUGAUGAUUAAAGCUGAUUUUUCUUGGCGUA
Gossypium raimondii (Peruvian cotton) is the source of this 1067-nucleotide RNA transcript. RefSeq lists it as uncharacterized. Lineage: Eukaryota; Viridiplantae; Streptophyta; Magnoliopsida; Malvales; Malvaceae. The transcript is spliced from 2 exons. The record is from RefSeq and is a predicted model, not a curated record.